GCUUCUCUCACUAAGUCAAUUAUUUAUUCACCAAACAAUAACUGAGGACCCAGCUGUGCUUUGCGCAGAACUGGGAGUUGCAAAUACAUACGGCAAACGAGACAAAGUCCCACUUGAAUGACUUCUUUUAUUGAAGAGGCUCUUCUGACUGGGGAAGACAGAAAUUCAGCCAACAACAACAACCAGGAGAAUGUCAGGUAGUGAAUAGUAAAUACUACAAUGAAAAGAAAGCAAGACAAGUACAAUCAAGAGUGACGGGAGUGACAGGAGGUACUUGAAAUUGGACGAUCAAGAAAGACCUCUCUGAGGAUGUGUUGUGAAUAACAAGAUGAACCAGCCAUGCAAAAAUAAAAAUAAAAAAUCCAGGAAAAGAAGGGACCUGCCUGUGCAAAGGCCCUAAGAUUCACUAGUUAACACAGGAUCUCUGGGCUUUCCUCACAAAGGCCUGAAUCACCCCCAGAAGCCUGGGAAAGGCAUGGUCAUACUCAAGGCGUCAACACCAACCACUGGAUCAUUGCCAUCCUCACACAAAAGCCUCAGCGCCCUUGAACUACCAGCUCGACACAGCCCCCCCCCCAGAGAGCCCCACCUGGCCCUUGCUGAGAAAGUGUAAGAUUCCAUGACCUGAUGGUCAGGUGUGAAGACUUCACCUGGAAGUGUUUCUUAUGUAGAGUAGCCUUUAACUUGCAACCUGGAAUGAGAAGAUGCUGAAGCUGAAGCUCCAAUACUUUGGCCACUUGAUGAGAAGAGCCAAC
Molecule: long non-coding RNA, 755 nt
Organism: Cervus elaphus (red deer)
Lineage: Eukaryota; Metazoa; Chordata; Mammalia; Artiodactyla; Cervidae
Exons: 3
Source: RefSeq, a predicted model, not a curated record